Molecule: ribosomal RNA, 465 nt
Filed under: uncultured bacterium
Lineage: Bacteria
Description: partial 16S ribosomal RNA
Rfam family: Bacterial small subunit ribosomal RNA
Source: RNAcentral
CUACGGGCGGCAGCAGUGGGGAAUAUUGGACAAUGGGGGAAACCCUGAUCCAGCAAUGCCGCGUGUGUGAAGAAGGCCUGCGGGUUGUAAAGCACUUUCGGUUGGGAGGACUGCUUCUAGCACUAAUAUUGUUGGAAGUUGACGUUACCUUCAGAAGAAGCACCGGCUAACUCCGUGCCAGCAGCCGCGGUAAUACGGGGGGUGCAAGCGUUAAUCGGAAUUACUGGGCGUAAAGCGCGCGUAGGCGGCUAGAUCAGUCGGGUGUGAAAGCCCCGGGCUUAACCUGGGAACUGCAUCCGAUACUGUCUAGCUUGAGUACAGGAGAGGAGAGUGGAAUUCCACAUGUAGCGGUGAAACGCGUAGAUAUGUGGAGGAACACCAAUGGCGAAGGCAGCUCUCUGGCCUGAUACUGACGCUGAGGUGCGAAAGCGUGGGGAGCAAACAGGAUUAGAUACCCGUGUAGUC